AGCCUGGGUGCUCCCGGUUUAUAAAUUUACAUGUCUGUUUCAUUAGGAAACUAAAUUCCAAACACCUUCCGACUACACUUGUGAAGGUCUACAGACUGUGAGGCUGAGUGAAGUGAGAGCUUGGGGAACCGCCAGGCAUGGUGGCGCUCGCCUUUAAUCCCAGCACUCGGGAGGCAGAGGCAGGGGGAUCUCUGUGAGUUCGAGGCCAGCCUGGUCUACAGAGUGAAUUCUAGGAUAGGCUCCAAAGCUACACAGAGAAACCCUGCCUUGAAAAACCAAAACAAACAAACAAACAAACAAACAAACCAAAAGAGACCGGACAAUCACUAACCCCCCCCCAAGGUGAUGUCAUCUUUCUAUGUGUCCUCAGGAGUCAACCUGCAGGAAGCCCAGACCUUCACAGCCCUGGAGUUCAGCAGUGAAGCCUGGAGCAGAAACCAACUGCAUCCACAAAGGACAGCAUCCAGGGACGGAGAAGCUGGAGUGGUGAGCUGCAGGUGGCCAUGCUAGGUCUGGCUACUGGGGAGGUUGAGGCAGGAGGCUCAAAGGUCAAGGUCUAGCUUGGGCUACA
This 571-nucleotide long non-coding RNA is filed under the name Cricetulus griseus (Chinese hamster). RNAcentral describes it as "lncRNA (ENSCGRG00000024537.1)". The record is from RNAcentral. Lineage: Eukaryota; Metazoa; Chordata; Mammalia; Rodentia; Cricetidae.